CUAUGGGGCCAGACCUGGAGGAUGUUAAACACCAAGUAGAGGAACACAAACUGUUGCAGGAGGACCUAGAGUUGGAGCAGGUGCGUGUCAACUCUCUGACACACAUGGUGGUGGUGGUGGAUGAGAACAGUGGAGACAGCGCCACCGCUGCCCUGGAGGAGAAACUACAGCACCUGGGAGACCGGUGGGCAGCCAUCUGUAAGUGGACAGAGGAGCAUUGGGUUCUGCUACAGGAGAUCCUGCUCCAGUGGCAACACUUCACUGAGGAACAG
This is a long non-coding RNA of Oncorhynchus gorbuscha (pink salmon), 272 nucleotides long. RefSeq lists it as uncharacterized. The record is from RefSeq and is a predicted model, not a curated record. NCBI's taxonomy places the organism in Eukaryota, Metazoa, Chordata, Actinopteri, Salmoniformes, Salmonidae. The transcript has 3 exons.